Molecule: RNA transcript, 2010 nt
Organism: Nycticebus coucang (slow loris)
Lineage: Eukaryota; Metazoa; Chordata; Mammalia; Primates; Lorisidae
Gene name: F-box/WD repeat-containing protein 1A-like
Exons: 2
Source: RefSeq, a predicted model, not a curated record
AUGGACCCGGCCGAGGCGGUGCUGCAGGAGAAAGCACUCAAGUUUAUGCAUUGAAGUUGACUGCUACAGACUUACAACAGCUGCGCCAGAUUCUGCUUAAACCAAGAAACAGUAUGUCCAGCAAGCACUUCUUUGAAGACUGAAAAUUGUGUGGCCAAAACAAAACUUGCCAAUGGCACUUCAAGUAUGAUUGUGCCCAAGCAACGGAAACUGUCUGCAAGCUAUGAAAAGGAAAAGGAACUGUGUGUCAAGUAUUUUGAGCAGUGGUCAGAGUCUGAUCAAGUGGAAUUUGUGGAACAUCUUAUAUCCCAAAUGUGUCAUUACCAACAUGGGCACAUAAACUCCUAUCGUAAACCUAUGUUGCAGAGGGAUUUCAUAACUACUCUGCCAGCUCGGGGUUUGGAUCAUAUUGCUGAGAACAUUUUGUCAUAUCUGGAUGCCAAAUCACUAUGUGCUGCUGAACUAGUGUGCAAGGAAUGGUACCGAGUGACAUCUGAUGGCAUGUAUGGAAGAAGCUCAUCGAGAGAAUGGUCAGGACAGAUUCUUUGUGGAGAGGCCUGGCAGAACGAAGAGGGUGGGGACAGUAUUUAUUCAAAAACAAACCUCCUAAUGGGAAUGCUCCUCCCAACUCUUUUUAUAGAGCACUUUAUCCUAAAAUUAUACAAGACAUUGAGACAAUAGAAUCUAAUUGGAGAUGUGGAAGACGUAGUUUACAAAGAAUCCACUGCCGAAGUGAAACAAGCAAAGGAGUUUACUGUUUACGGUAUGAUGAUCAGAAAAUAGUAAGCGGCCUUCGAGACAACACAAUCAAGAUAUGGGAUAAAAGCACAUUGGAAUGCAAGCGAAUUCUCACAGGACUCACAGGUUCUGUCCUAUGUCUCCAGUAUGACGAAAGAGUGAUCAUAACUGGAUCAUCAGAUUCCACGGUCAGAGUGUGGGAUGUAAAUACAGGUGAAAUGCUAAAUACAUUGAUUCACCACUGUGAAGCAGUUCUGCACUUGCGUUUCAAUAAUGGCAUGAUGGUGACCUGCUCCAAAGAUCGUUCCAUUGCUGUGUGGGAUAUGGCCUCCCCAACAGAUAUUACUCUUCGGAGGGUACUGGUUGGACACCGAGCGGCUGUCAAUGUUGUAGACUUUGAUGACAAGUAUAUCGUUUCUGCAUCUGGGGAUAGAACUAUAAAGGUAUAGAACAUAAAUACUUGUGAAUUUGUAAGGACCUUAAAUGGACACAAACGAGGCAUUGCCUGUUUGCAGUACAGAGACAGGCUUGUAGUGAGUGGCUCUUUUGACAACACUAUCAGAUUAUGGGACAUAGAAUGUGGUGCAUGUUUGCGAGUAUUAGAAGGCCACGAGGAAUUGGUUCAUUGUAUUCGAUUUGAUAACAAGAGGAUAGUCAGUGGGGCUUAUGAUGGGAAAAUUAAAGUAUGGGAUCUUGUGGCUGCUUUGGACCCUCGUGCUCCUGCAGGGACACUCUGUCUAUGGACCCUUGUGGAGCAUUCUGGAAGAGUUUUCCGACUCCAGUUUGAUGAAUUCCAGAUUGUCAGUAGUUCACAUGAUGACACAAUUCUCAUCUGGGACUUCCUAAAUGAUCCAGCUGCACAAGCAGAACCUCCCCGCUCCCCUUCCCGAACAUACACCUAUAUCUCCAGAUAAAUAACCAUACACUGACCUCAUACUUGCCCAGGACUCAUCGAAGUUGCAGUAUUUAACAUAUCUGCCAACACCAGGACGAGUAACAACAGUAACAACCAAACAACUACCCGGUUUCCCUGGACUAUCCUAGGAGCAGGGCGUUGAGACUCCUGUUGGGACACAGUUGGUCUGUAGUCGGCCCAGGAUGGUCUACUCAGUACGGCUGACUGCUUUAGUGCUGCUAUCAGAAGAUGUCUUCUAUCUUUCAUGAAUGAUUGGAACUUUUAAACCUCACCUCCCCUCCUCUUUUCCCCUGUGCACCUAUUUUUCCCUAUUGGUUCCAGAGAAAGAUGACUUAUAAAUAUAUUUAGUGUUUUGC